RNAcentral lists this ribosomal RNA (460 nucleotides) under uncultured bacterium. RNAcentral's name for it is "partial 16S ribosomal RNA". It matches the Rfam family "Bacterial small subunit ribosomal RNA", at positions 338 to 795 of the family's 1533-position model. The record is from RNAcentral.
CCUACGGGUGGCUGCAGUGAGGAAUAUUGGUCAAUGGGCGUAAGCCUGAACCAGCCAAGUCGCGUGAGGGAUGAAGGUCCUAUGGAUCGUAAACCUCUUUUAUAAGGGAAUAAAGUGUGGGACGUGUCCUAUUUUGUAUGUACCUUAUGAAUAAGGAUCGGCUAACUCCGUGCCAGCAGCCGCGGUAAUACGGAGGAUCCGAGCGUUAUCCGGAUUUAUUGGGUUUAAGGGGUGCGUAGGCGGCCUUUUAAGUCAGCGGUGAAAGUCUGUGGCUCAACCAUCGAAUUGCCGUUGAAACUGGGGGGCUUGAGUGUGUUAGGGGCAGGCGGAAUGCGUGGUGUAGCGGUGAAAUGCUUAGAUAUCACGAAGAACACCGAUUGCGAAGGCAACCUGCCAAGCCAUAACUGACGCUGAUGCACGAAAGCGUGGGGAUCAAACAGGAUUAGAUACCCUAGUAGUC